UGGAAGGGCCAGUACCAGGCCGAGCCUAUAAGAACAGUGGCCGAUCUUCUCCCGCCGGCAUCCAAGCCGUUCUCUCUCCCUUCCUCUAAGCUGUCGCCUCCGAAGCUCUUGAGUGGUGCUUCAAUCUUGCUCACAAUGGAGUCGACUUGUCGUCGCGUCAUCCCACUAAGAGGCGGCGUCCUCAAGCAGACCCUGAAGUUGAUGUGUGACCUCCUCUGCUGCUGCUGCUGCUUCGGCUGCUCCAGCUGCUCCUCCGCCGCGGAUCAGUGCUCUCAGCCUCUCGCUCCCGACCAGCCUGCUCGUCUAAAGUCUGAUGAGGUUCGGUCUCAAACUUUUUGAUCAUCCCACUGAGACCCGGCUAGAGACAAGAGGGUUUGUCAUUUCAGGGAAUGUUGACGCGGUGUCGGUUCUGCAAAUAAUCCAAACAGAUCUAGUCGUUCAGCAAAGCGAGAAGGUCUUGAAGGAAUUCAAAGUAAAGCAAUUUUGUGUCUAUUUUGAUUGGCAGUAACCUUUUGUGAUUUUAUAUGUUUUAUUUGGAGGUCAACAUCUGCUCUUCCUGUCAUCUGUUGUUCUAUUGUUGUUGAGGAAAUGAAUAGAAAAUCUCGACGAUGUCCAUUUAAUA
Long non-coding RNA from Nymphaea colorata (pocket water lily), 622 nucleotides. RefSeq lists it as uncharacterized. The transcript is spliced from 2 exons. The record is from RefSeq and is a predicted model, not a curated record. NCBI's taxonomy places the organism in Eukaryota, Viridiplantae, Streptophyta, Magnoliopsida, Nymphaeales, Nymphaeaceae.